UGCCAGCCGCCGCGGUAAUACGAAGGGUGCUAGCGUUGUUCGGAAUUAUUGGGCGUAAAGCGCGUGUAGGCGGUUCGUUAAGUCUGAUGUGAAAGCCCGGGGCUCAACCCCGGAAGUGCAUUGGAAACUGGCGAACUUGAGUACGGGAGAGGAAAGUGGAAUUCCGAGUGUAGGGGUGAAAUCCGUAGAUAUUCGGAGGAACACCAGUGGCGAAGGCGACUUUCUGGCUCGUAACUGACGCUGAGGCACGAAAGCGUGGGGAGCAAACAGGAUUAGAUA
RNAcentral lists this ribosomal RNA (279 nucleotides) under uncultured bacterium. Its description in RNAcentral is "partial 16S ribosomal RNA". It matches the Rfam family "Bacterial small subunit ribosomal RNA", at positions 506 to 784 of the family's 1533-position model. The record is from RNAcentral.